This 244-nucleotide ribosomal RNA is filed under the name uncultured bacterium. RNAcentral's name for it is "partial 16S ribosomal RNA". It matches the Rfam family "Bacterial small subunit ribosomal RNA", at positions 524 to 766 of the family's 1533-position model. The record is from RNAcentral.
UACGGAGGGGGCUAGCGUUGUUCGGAAUUACUGGGCGUAAAGCGCACGUAGGCGGCUUUGUAAGUUAGAGGUGAAAGCCCGGGGCUCAACUCCGGAAUUGCCUUUAAGACUGCAUCGCUAGAAUUGUGGAGAGGUAAGUGGAAUUCCGAGUGUAGAGGUGAAAUUCGUAGAUAUUCGCAAGAACACCAGUGGCGAAGGCGGCCAACUGGACCAACACUGACGCUGAGGCGCGAAAAGCGUGGGG